Pelobates cultripes (western spadefoot toad) is the source of this 119-nucleotide non-coding RNA. Lineage: Eukaryota; Metazoa; Chordata; Amphibia; Anura; Pelobatidae. The record is from the annotation of a GenBank genome assembly.
CUAACUACCAUGCUCCCUCAGGGUUCCCAUAAUUCCCAGCAUUGAUACAUCAUAGAGUAAUCACACUAUGAUGUGGCUGUGCUGGGAAUUGUGGGAACCGCGAGGGAGCAUGGUAGUUA